AGGGGGAGCGCCAGAUCUUGGGCUGUGUCCCCAGUGCCCUGUGCUCCCGAGCCUGUGCUGUUGGAAUCGCGCUCUCCGCUGCGCAGCCCCCU
RNAcentral lists this microRNA precursor (92 nucleotides) under Canis lupus familiaris (dog). RNAcentral's name for it is "mir-8799 microRNA precursor family". It matches the Rfam family "mir-8799 microRNA precursor family". Lineage: Eukaryota; Metazoa; Chordata; Mammalia; Carnivora; Canidae. RNAcentral also lists the same sequence under 1 other name. The record is from Rfam by way of RNAcentral.